Molecule: ribosomal RNA, 253 nt
Filed under: uncultured bacterium
Lineage: Bacteria
Description: partial 16S ribosomal RNA
Rfam family: Bacterial small subunit ribosomal RNA
Source: RNAcentral
UACGUAGGCAGCGAGCGUUGUUCGGAGUUACUGGGCGUAAAGGGUGCGUAGGCGGUUGUUUAAGUUUGGUGUGAAAUCUCCCGGCUCAACUGGGAGGGUGCGCCGAAUACUGAAUGACUAGAGUGCGGGAGAGGUGAGUGGAAUUCCCAGUGUAGCGGUGAAAUGCGUAGAUAUUGGGAGGAACACCAGUGGCGAAGGCGGCUCACUGGACCGGAACUGACGCUGAGGCGCGAAAGCGUGGGGAGCAAACGGG